AGUGAACGCUGGCGGUAGGCCUAACACAUGCAAGUCGAACGGCAGCACAGUAAGAGCUUGCUCUUACGGGUGGCGAGUGGCGGACGGGUGAGGAAUACAUCGGAAUCUACUUUUUCGUGGGGGAUAACGUAGGGAAACUUACGCUAAUACCGCAUACGACCUACGGGUGAAAGCAGGGGAUCUUCGGACCUUGCGCGAUUGAAUGAGCCGAUGUCGGAUUAGCUAGUUGGCGGGGUAAAGGCCCACCAAGGCGACGAUCCGUAGCUGGUCUGGGAGGAUGAUCAGCCACACUGGAACUGAGACACGGUCCAGACCCCUACGGGAGGCAGCAGUGGGGAAUAUUGGACAAUGGGCGCAAGCCUGAUCCAGCCAUACCGCGUGGGUGAAGAAGGCCUUCGGGUUGUAAAGCCCUUUUGUUGGGAAAGAAAAGCAGCAGGUUAAUACCCCGCUGUUCUGACGGUACCCAAAGAAUAAGCACCGGCUAACUUCGUG
Molecule: ribosomal RNA, 492 nt
Filed under: uncultured bacterium
Lineage: Bacteria
Description: partial 16S ribosomal RNA
Rfam family: Bacterial small subunit ribosomal RNA
Source: RNAcentral